RNAcentral lists this ribosomal RNA (472 nucleotides) under uncultured bacterium. Its description in RNAcentral is "bacterial SSU rRNA". It matches the Rfam family "Bacterial small subunit ribosomal RNA", at positions 341 to 825 of the family's 1533-position model. The record is from RNAcentral.
ACGGGAGGCAGCAGUGGGGAAUAUUGGGCAAUGGAGGAAACUCUGACCCAGCGACGCCGCGUGCGGAAUGAAGGCCUUCGGGUUGUAAACCGCUUUCAGCAGGGAAGAAGCGAAAGUGACGGUACCUGCAGAAGAAGCACCGGCUAACUAUGUGCCAGCAGCCGCGGUAAUACAUAGGGUGCAAGCGUUGUCCGGAAUUAUUGGGCGUAAAGAGCUCGUAGGUGGUUCGUCACGUCGGAUGUGAAACUCUGGGGCUUAACCCCAGACCUGCAUUCGAUACGGGCGAGCUUGAGUAUGGUAGGGGAGUCUGGGAUUCCUGGUGUAGCGGUGGAAUGCGCAGAUAUCAGGAGGAACACCAAUGGCGAAGGCAGGACUCUGGGCCAUUACUGACACUGAGGAGCGAAAGCGUGGGGAGCGAACAGGAUUAGAUACCCUGGUAGUCCACGCCGUAAACGGUGGGCACUAGUUGUGG